Molecule: long non-coding RNA, 581 nt
Organism: Nycticebus coucang (slow loris)
Lineage: Eukaryota; Metazoa; Chordata; Mammalia; Primates; Lorisidae
Exons: 3
Source: RefSeq, a predicted model, not a curated record
UGCAAAUCACUAAAUCCACGUUGUAAACCACCAAGCAGAUAGCUGGCUGUCAUUGCUCAGACGGUGUGCACCAGGGUAAACAUGACAGAGGACACAGACUUUCCUUUAGGUGACAGCUGAUAUCCUUGGUCUGCAGAUGGAUGUAGGUCCUACCGUUACCUUCUCACCAUGUUACGUAUGUCACUGCCCAUGUUAUCCGCUGGAGGAGAUAUCAUUGAUCUCACAUCCCCCAAAUGUCUCAGAACCUCUUUGAUCUGGAAUGAAGCAGAGAUGAACAGAGAAACGUGGAAUUGUUCUAUGAGAACUGAAGUCUGGACUCUGGACAGCUGGGUCUGUACAGUCCUGGAGGGUCAUUUCUUCUCUUCUUGGCAGAUUAUUAAACCGCUGAUUCAGCAGGUCGGGGGUGGCCGGGUAGGGACAGGCUGACCCGGUGGCUGCUCCUGGAGCACUCCUUCUUGCUCAGGCCACUUUCUCAGACGGAGAACUUCUAGUUUCACGUGUUUGCAUGACUCUUCCCUGUUUGUGGACCCCAUAAUGUGAAUCAUUGUAAAAGUGGGGACUUAUAAACUGGAAAGUCGGCU